RNAcentral lists this ribosomal RNA (783 nucleotides) under uncultured organism. RNAcentral's name for it is "bacterial SSU rRNA". It matches the Rfam family "Bacterial small subunit ribosomal RNA", at positions 13 to 792 of the family's 1533-position model. The record is from RNAcentral.
UUGAUCCUGGCUCAGAACGAACGCUGACGGCGCGUCUUAAGCAUGCAAGUCGAACGAGAAAGUAUCUUCGGGGUACGAGUAAAGUGGCGAACGGGUGAGUAACACGUGGGUAAUCUGCCCUGAAGUUGGGGACAACUCGCUGAAAAGCGAGCUAAUACCGAAUGAGAUAGUCUUUACAUAUGUGAGGAUUAUGAAAGGUUUCGGCCGCUUCAGGAUGAGCCUGCGGUCUAUUAGCUAGUUGGUGAGGUAAAUGCUCACCAAGGCUACGAUAGAUAGCCGGCCUGAGAGGGUGUACGGUCACAUUGGAACUGAGACACGGUCCAGACUCCUACGGGAGGCAGCAGCUAAGAAUAUUCCGCAAUGGGCGAAAGCCUGACGGAGCGACGCCGUGUGGUUGAUGAAGGCCUUACAGGUUGUAAAAACCUUUUAUUCGAGAAGAUGGGCAAGCCUCGAGCUUGCUUGACGGUAUCGAACGAAUAAGCCCCGGCAAAUUACGUGCCAGCAGCCGCGGUAAUACGUAAGGGGCUAGCGUUGUUCGGAAUUAUUGGGCGUAAAGGGCGUGCAGGCGGACUAAUAAGUCGGGUGUGAAAUCUUAUGGCUUAACCAUGAGCUAUUGCUCGAAACUGUUAGUCUAGAGUUUGGAAUAGGGAGACGGAAUUCCUAGUGUAGGAGUGAAAUCUAUAGAUAUUAGGAAGAACACCGGUGGCGAAGGCGGUCUCCUGGUCUAACACUGACGCUACAGCGCGAAAGCUAGGGUAGCAAACGGGAUUAGAUACCCCGGUA